AUUGAACGCUGGCGGCAUGCCUAACACAUGCAAGUCGAACGGCAGCACAGUAAAGAUUUCGGUCUUUAUGGGUGGCGAGUGGCGGACGGGUGAGUAAUGCGUAGGAAUCUGUCCUGGAGAGUGGGAUAACCCGAGGAAACUCGGGCUAAUACUGCAUGAUAUCGAGAGAUCAAAGGCAGGGGACCCUUCGGGGCCUUGCGCUCUAGGAUGAGCCUACGUCGGAUUAGCUAGUUGGUGGGGUAAAGGCCUACCAAGGCGACGAUCCGUAGCUGGUCUGAGAGGAGGACCAGCCACACUGGGACUGAGACACGGCCCAAACUCCUACGGGAGGCAGCAGUGGGGAAUCUUGGACAAUGGGGGAAACCCUGAUCCAGCGAUGCCGCGUGUGUGAAGAAGGCCUUCGGGUUGUAAAGCACUUUAGUUGGGGAAGAAAAGUAAUGAGUGAAUAACUGAUUGCUCUGACGGUACCCAAAGAAUAAGCACCGGCUAACUCUGUGCCAGCCGCCGCGGUAA
RNAcentral lists this ribosomal RNA (513 nucleotides) under uncultured bacterium. RNAcentral describes it as "partial 16S ribosomal RNA". It matches the Rfam family "Bacterial small subunit ribosomal RNA", at positions 30 to 523 of the family's 1533-position model. The record is from RNAcentral.